Molecule: transfer RNA, 85 nt
Filed under: Actinomycetes bacterium
Lineage: Bacteria; Bacillati; Actinomycetota; Actinomycetes
Description: tRNA-Tyr
Rfam family: tRNA
About the family: Transfer RNA (tRNA) molecules are approximately 80 nucleotides in length. Their secondary structure includes four short double-helical elements and three loops (D, anti-codon, and T loops). Further hydrogen bonds mediate the characteristic L-shaped molecular structure. tRNAs have two regions of fundamental functional importance: the anti-codon, which is responsible for specific mRNA codon recognition, and the 3' end, to which the tRNAs corresponding amino acid is attached (by aminoacyl-tRNA synthetases). tRNAs cope with the degeneracy of the genetic code in two manners: having more than one tRNA (with a specific anti-codon) for a particular amino acid; and 'wobble' base-pairing, i.e. permitting non-standard base-pairing at the 3rd anti-codon position.
Source: RNAcentral
GGGGGUGUGCCCGAGUGGUUAAAGGGGACGGGCUGUAAACCCGUUGGCUAUGCCUACUAUGGUUCGAAUCCAUACGCCCCCACCA